Non-coding RNA from Cinara cedri, 349 nucleotides. The record is from the annotation of a GenBank genome assembly. NCBI's taxonomy places the organism in Eukaryota, Metazoa, Arthropoda, Insecta, Hemiptera, Aphididae.
UAACCCAUGUACGGUACCCACCUGUAUAUUUAUACAAAUGAAUGCGUAUACCCAACUCCGGCGGCAGCGGUUUGCCGUUAUCGCAACGUAGUAUUGUGUUCUCGGAUCCGUUCGACGGUACGGUCGUGCGCUCGCAACAAUAUCAACGGCGUAAUCAUCGGCACGGCCGGGAGGGGGGGGGAUGGAGGAGGAUGGGAGGGGUGGGGGAAAGAAUGCCGACCCCUCUCCAGACUUGGGGACAUUUAGACUGCUGAGACGGCGGUUCAACGGUAAUUGUACAGCCGACGGAAUUAGUCCGUAUUUCUUUACACAUUUUUUCAGACUCUGAACGAAACGAGGAAUGUAUCGG